UACGUAGGGGGCAAGCGUUAUCCGGAUUUACUGGGUGUAAAGGGAGCGCAGACGGCUGUGUAAGUCAGAAGUGAAAACCCCGGGCUCAACCCGGGGACUGCUUUUGAAACUAUGCAGCUAGAGUGCUGGAGGGGCAAGCGGAAUUCCUGGUGUAGCGGUGAAAUGCGUAGAUAUCAGGAGGAACACCGGUGGCGAAGGCGGCUUGCUGGACAGUAACUGACGUUGAGGCUCGAAAGCGUGGGGAG
Molecule: ribosomal RNA, 245 nt
Filed under: uncultured Lachnospiraceae bacterium
Lineage: Bacteria; Bacillati; Bacillota; Clostridia; Lachnospirales; Lachnospiraceae
Description: partial 16S ribosomal RNA
Rfam family: Bacterial small subunit ribosomal RNA
Source: RNAcentral